This 1434-nucleotide ribosomal RNA is filed under the name bacterium. RNAcentral's name for it is "bacterial SSU rRNA". It matches the Rfam family "Bacterial small subunit ribosomal RNA". The record is from RNAcentral.
GGCCUUAGACAUGCAAGUCGAGCGGUAGCACAGAGAGCUUGCUCUCGGGUGACGAGCGGCGGACGGGUGAGUAAUGUCUGGGAAACUGCCUGAUGGAGGGGGAUAACUACUGGAAACGGUAGCUAAUACCGCAUAAUGUCGCAAGACCAAAGUGGGGGACCUUCGGGCCUCAUGCCAUCAGAUGUGCCCAGAUGGGAUUAGCUAGUAGGUGGGGUAAUGGCUCACCUAGGCGACGAUCCCUAGCUGGUCUGAGAGGAUGACCAGCCACACUGGAACUGAGACACGGUCCAGACUCCUACGGGAGGCAGCAGUGGGGAAUAUUGCACAAUGGGCGCAAGCCUGAUGCAGCCAUGCCGCGUGUGUGAAGAAGGCCUUCGGGUUGUAAAGCACUUUCAGCGGGGAGGAAGGCGGUGAGGUUAAUAACCUUGUCGAUUGACGUUACCCGCAGAAGAAGCACCGGCUAACUCCGUGCCAGCAGCCGCGGUAAUACGGAGGGUGCAAGCGUUAAUCGGAAUUACUGGGCGUAAAGCGCACGCAGGCGGUCUGUCAAGUCGGAUGUGAAAUCCCCGGGCUCAACCUGGGAACUGCAUUCGAAACUGGCAGGCUAGAGUCUUGUAGAGGGGGGUAGAAUUCCAGGUGUAGCGGUGAAAUGCGUAGAGAUCUGGAGGAAUACCGGUGGCGAAGGCGGCCCCCUGGACAAAGACUGACGCUCAGGUGCGAAAGCGUGGGGAGCAAACAGGAUUAGAUACCCUGGUAGUCCACGCCGUAACGAUGUCGAUUUGGAGGUUGUGCCCUUGAGGCGUGGCUUCCGGAGCUAACGCGUUAAAUCGACCGCCUGGGGAGUACGGCCGCAAGGUUAAAACUCAAAUGAAUUGACGGGGGCCCGCACAAGCGGUGGAGCAUGUGGUUUAAUUCGAUGCAACGCGAAGAACCUUACCUGGUCUUGACAUCCACAGAACUUUCCAGAGAUGGAUUGGUGCCUUCGGGAACUGUGAGACAGGUGCUGCAUGGCUGUCGUCAGCUCGUGUUGUGAAAUGUUGGGUUAAGUCCCGCAACGAGCGCAACCCUUAUCCUUUGUUGCCAGCGGUUCGGCCGGGAACUCAAAGGAGACUGCCAGUGAUAAACUGGAGGAAGGUGGGGAUGACGUCAAGUCAUCAUGGCCCUUACGACCAGGGCUACACACGUGCUACAAUGGCAUAUACAAAGAGAAGCGACCUCGCGAGAGCAAGCGGACCUCAUAAAGUAUGUCGUAGUCCGGAUUGGAGUCUGCAACUCGACUCCAUGAAGUCGGAAUCGCUAGUAAUCGUAGAUCAGAAUGCUACGGUGAAUACGUUCCCGGGCCUUGUACACACCGCCCGUCACACCAUGGGAGUGGGUUGCAAAAGAAGUAGGUAGCUUAACCUUCGGGAGGGCGCCUACCACUUGGGUUCCCCG